ACUGUCAGGUGGGCAGUUUGACUGGGGCGGUCGCCUCCCAAAAGGUAACGGAGGCGCUCAAAGGUUCUCUCAGUACGGUCGGAAAUCGUACGUAGAGUGUAAAGGCAAAAGAGAGCUUGAUUGCAAGACAUACAGGUCGAGCAAGGAUGAAAAUCGGACUUAGUGAUCCGGUGGUUCUGCGUGGAAGGGCCAUCGCUCAACGGAUAAAAGCUACCCUGGGGAUAACAGGCUUAUCUCCCCCAAGAGUCCACAUCGACGGGGAGGUUUGGCACCUCGAUGUCGGCUCAUCACAUCCUGGGGCUGUAGUAGGUCCCAAGGGUUGGGCUGUUCGCCCAUUAAAGUGGUACGCGAGCUGGGUUCAGAACGUCGUGAGACAGUUCGGUCCCUAUCCGUCGCAGGCGUAGGAAAUUUGAGAAGACCUGUCCUUAGUACGAGAGGACCGGGAUGGACGUACCUCUGGUGUACCAGUUGUCCUGCCAAGGGCAUGGCUGGGUAGCUAU
RNAcentral lists this ribosomal RNA (500 nucleotides) under Clostridioides difficile. Its description in RNAcentral is "partial 23S ribosomal RNA". It matches the Rfam family "Bacterial large subunit ribosomal RNA", at positions 2253 to 2752 of the family's 2925-position model. Lineage: Bacteria; Bacillati; Bacillota; Clostridia; Peptostreptococcales; Peptostreptococcaceae. The record is from RNAcentral.